This 148-nucleotide small RNA is filed under the name Macaca fascicularis (crab-eating macaque). Its description in RNAcentral is "Metazoan signal recognition particle RNA (ENSMFAG00000057086.1)". The record is from Rfam by way of RNAcentral. Lineage: Eukaryota; Metazoa; Chordata; Mammalia; Primates; Cercopithecidae.
GCCAGGCAUGGUGGUGCAUGCCUGUAGUCCCAGCUACUCAGGAGGCUGAGGCAGGAGAGUCAUUUGAGCCUGGGAGGUGGAGGUUGCAGUGAGUCAAGAUUGAGCCACUGCACUCCAGCCUGGGCAACAGAGUGAGACUCUGUCUCAA